RNAcentral lists this unclassified non-coding RNA (238 nucleotides) under Hevea brasiliensis (rubber tree). Lineage: Eukaryota; Viridiplantae; Streptophyta; Magnoliopsida; Malpighiales; Euphorbiaceae. The record is from RNAcentral.
AAAACAGCGGAGCCCACACUUAUCAGAAAGGAGAUAAGCGAUAUUUCACUUGAAAAUAUCCUCGAUGGUGGCUCUGGUAGCCAUAGUAUGUAGUGCACCAACAUGUUAAGAACUUCCCUUUUCGUGUACCAUUGACAAAUGCAGAAUACUGAAGCUCUUUUGUGUUAUUUAUGGAAAAACAUGCGAGUAAGCUCUUUUUUGUAAUGACUAUAACUUGUUGAAGGAUAUCCUGUUCUCU